UGGCGACGGGUGAGUAACACGUGAGCAAUCUGCCCCUGACUCUGGGAUAACAGUUGGAAACAGCUGCUAAUACCGGAUACGAGCUGCGAAGGCAUCUUCAGCAGCUAGAAAGAAUUUCGGUCAGGGAUGAGCUCGCGGCCUAUCAGCUUGUUGGUGAGGUAACGGCUCACCAAGGCGUCGACGGGUAGCCGGCCUGAGAGGGUGACCGGCCACACUGGGACUGAGACACGGCCCAGACUCCUACGGGAGGCAGCAGUGGGGAAUAUUGCACAAUGGGCGAAAGCCUGAUGCAGCAACGCCGCGUGAGGGACGACGGCCUUCGGGUUGUAAACCUCUUUUAGCAGGGAAGAAGCGAAAGUGACGGUACCUGCAGAAAAAGCACCGGCUAACUACGUGCCAGCAGCCGCGGUAAUACGUAGGGUGCAAGCGUUAUCCGGAAUUAUUGGGCGUAAAGAGCUCGUAGGCGGUUUGUCGCGUCUGCUGUGAAAACUGGAGGCUCAACCUCCAGCCUGCAGUGGGUACGGGCAGACUAGAGUGCGGUAGGGGAGAUUGGAAUUCCUGGUGUAGCGGUGGAAUGCGCAGAUAUCAGGAGGAACACCGAUGGCGAAGGCAGAUCUCUGGGCCGUAACUGACGCUGAGGAGCGAAAGGGUGGGGAGCAAACAGGCUUAGAUACCCUGGUAGUCCACCCCGUAAACGUUGGGAACUAGUUGUGGGGACCAUUCCACGGUUUCCGUGACGCAGCUAACGCAUUAAGUUCCCCGCCUGGGGAGUACGGCCGCAAGGCUAAACUCAAGGAUUGACGG
RNAcentral lists this ribosomal RNA (804 nucleotides) under Microbacterium sp. RNAcentral describes it as "bacterial SSU rRNA". It matches the Rfam family "Bacterial small subunit ribosomal RNA", at positions 96 to 916 of the family's 1533-position model. The record is from RNAcentral. Lineage: Bacteria; Bacillati; Actinomycetota; Actinomycetes; Micrococcales; Microbacteriaceae.